Molecule: ribosomal RNA, 496 nt
Filed under: uncultured bacterium
Lineage: Bacteria
Description: partial 16S ribosomal RNA
Rfam family: Bacterial small subunit ribosomal RNA
Source: RNAcentral
GAUGUACGCUGGCGGCGUGCCUAAUACAUGCAAGUCGAGCGAACAGACGAGGAGCUUGCUCCUCUGACGUUAGCGGCGGACGGGUGAGUAACACGUGGAUAACCUACCUAUAAGACUGUGAUAACUUCGGGAAACCGGAGCUAAUACCGGAUAAUAUAUUGAACCGCAUGGUUCAAUAGUGAAAGACGGUUUUGCUGUCACUUAUAGAUGGAUCCGCGCCGCAUUAGCUAGUUGGUAAGGUAACGGCUUACCAAGGCAACGAUGCGUAGCCGACCUGAGAGGGUGAUCGGCCACACUGGAACUGAGACACGGUCCAGACUCCUACGGGAGGCAGCAGUAGGGAAUCUUCCGCAAUGGGCGAAAGCUUGACGGAGCAACGCCGCGUGAGUGAUGAAGGUCUUCGGAUCGUAAAACUCUGUUAUUAGGGAAGAACAAAUGUGUAAGUAACUAUGCACGUCUUGACGGUACCUAAUCAGAAAGCCACGGCUACUACGUG